GGGGGGAGGCCGGAUCCUGGGCUGUGUCCCGGCGCCCUGGUCUCUGGGGCCUGCGCUGUUGGAUUCGCGCUCCCGCCCCGCAGCCCCCU
RNAcentral lists this microRNA precursor (89 nucleotides) under Canis lupus familiaris (dog). RNAcentral describes it as "mir-8799 microRNA precursor family". It matches the Rfam family "mir-8799 microRNA precursor family". Lineage: Eukaryota; Metazoa; Chordata; Mammalia; Carnivora; Canidae. The record is from Rfam by way of RNAcentral.